Polypterus senegalus (gray bichir) is the source of this 320-nucleotide long non-coding RNA. RefSeq lists it as uncharacterized. The record is from RefSeq and is a predicted model, not a curated record. Lineage: Eukaryota; Metazoa; Chordata; Cladistia; Polypteriformes; Polypteridae. The transcript has 3 exons.
AAAAACUCUUCAUACUAAUUUUCAUCAAAUCAUGGAAAGAGGCAGUGAAGCUAUUAGUCCAACAAAUCAACACCUCAACAAAUACAGACAUUCAGAAGAGAGAACCACCUGACCACAUCACUUCUGCCUCAGUUCUUAACCCCCAAUGAUGACCUCAUUCCACUUCCUUUUCUGCAAGCACGUCCUCCCUGUCAUCCCACUAAGAAAACAAUCAACACUCACUCUCAGUCAUUAUACCCCAAAACAAGAAUACUUCUGUUGCUGCUGCGUUAACAAGAAGCAUGCUUUUCAAUAAGGACAGUACUACUACUGACACCAGC